GCCUGGGUGGCUUUGUCGGUGGAGCAUCUGACUUCGACUCAGGUCAUGAUCAUGAGGUUUGUGAGUUCGAGACCCACGUCGGGCU
RNAcentral lists this transfer RNA (85 nucleotides) under Felis catus (domestic cat). It matches the Rfam family "tRNA". Rfam says of the family: Transfer RNA (tRNA) molecules are approximately 80 nucleotides in length. Their secondary structure includes four short double-helical elements and three loops (D, anti-codon, and T loops). The record is from Rfam by way of RNAcentral. Lineage: Eukaryota; Metazoa; Chordata; Mammalia; Carnivora; Felidae.